This 522-nucleotide ribosomal RNA is filed under the name uncultured Oscillibacter sp. RNAcentral describes it as "partial 16S ribosomal RNA". The record is from RNAcentral. Lineage: Bacteria; Bacillati; Bacillota; Clostridia; Eubacteriales; Oscillospiraceae.
CACGUAGUUAGCCGUGGCUUAUUCAAGGGGUACCGUCUUCUGCUCUUCCCCCCUUAAAAGAAGUUUACAACCCGAAAGCCUUCUUCCUUCACGCGGCGUUGCUGGGUCAGGCUUGCGCCCAUUGCCCAAUAUUCCCCCACUGCUGCCUCCCGUAGGAGUCUGGGCCGUAUCUCAGUCCCAAUGUGGCCGGUCAACCCUCUCAGUCCGGCUACUGAUCGUCGCCUAGGUGGGCCGUUACCCCGCCUACUAGCUAAUCAGACGCGAGGCCAUCUUCCAGCGAUAAAUCUUUGACAUGUCCGUGAUGCCACGGCCAUGUGUCAUGCGGUAUUAGCAGUCGUUUCCAACUGUUGUCCCCCUCUGGAAGGCAGGUUCCUCACGCGUUACUCACCAGUCCGCCACUAAGCAUUCCCUUCCAUUGUCCGAAAACUCUUUCAGGGGUGCUCCGUUCGACUUGCAUGUGUUAAGCACGCCGCCAGCCGUGUCCUGUGCCGUAGGAUCCAACGUACCUCUCGUACGACUACC